Molecule: ribosomal RNA, 442 nt
Filed under: uncultured bacterium
Lineage: Bacteria
Description: partial 16S ribosomal RNA
Rfam family: Bacterial small subunit ribosomal RNA
Source: RNAcentral
CCUACGGGAGGCAGCAGUAGGGAAUCUUUCACAAUGGGCGAAAGCCUAAUGGAGCAACGCCGCGUGCAGGAUGAAGGCCUUCGGGUUGUAAACUGCUUUUAUAAGCGAGAAAUAUGAUGGUAACUUAUGAAUAAGGAUCGGCUAACUACGUGCCAGCAGCCGCGGUCAUACGUAGGAUCCGAGCAUUAUCCGGAGUGACUGGGUGUAAAGAGUUGCGUAGGUGGCAUAAUAAGUAGCUAGUGAAAUCUGGUGGCUCAACCAUUCAGACUAUUAGCUAAACUGUUAAGCUCGAGACCGUUAGGGGUAACUGGAAUUUCUAGUGUAGGAGUGAAAUCCGUAGAUAUUAGAAGGAACACCAAUAGCGUAGGCAGGUUGCUGGGACGGUUCUGACACUAAGGCACGAAAGCGUAGGGAGCAAACGGGAUUAGAUACCCCUGUAGUC